This 68-nucleotide transfer RNA is filed under the name uncultured Clostridium sp. It matches the Rfam family "tRNA". From Rfam's summary of the family: Transfer RNA (tRNA) molecules are approximately 80 nucleotides in length. Their secondary structure includes four short double-helical elements and three loops (D, anti-codon, and T loops). Lineage: Bacteria; Bacillati; Bacillota; Clostridia; Eubacteriales; Clostridiaceae. The record is from RNAcentral.
CCGAUAGCUCAGUCGGUAGAGCAGAGGACUGAAAAUCCUCGUGUCGCUGGUUCGAUUCCAGCUCGGGC